GACAGAGCAAAAAUUAGAUUUUAUUGCGCUACUCAAAACACGAAGGGAUAUUUCACCUCACAGUUCCUUGGAACUUUAUCCGGAGGAAUAUAUUUUGACUGGCACGUCUUACCUCCUAGAGGAAGAUCUGGUGGGAUAUUACUAGGGGUUUGGUGUGAAACGCUUGAGGUGCUUAAAGUGGUUCGGGGCGAUUUUGAAGUCAAGUUUCGGGUGAGAUCGAAAGUAGACGGCUUCAGAUGGGCUCUCGUUGCUGUAUAUGGGGCAGCACAACCCGAACUUAAACCGGAUUUUUUAGCCGACUUGGUGCAGAUCUGUGGAGACGAGACUCUUCCAAUCCUAGUCGGAGGUGAUUUUAAUAUAACACAGAGGAGAGAUGAAAAGAACAAUGACAAUUUUGAUGGACGUUGGUCUAUGAUGUUUAACAUGAUUAUUGAGAGUCUUAAUUUGAGAGAAAUUGAGCUCACCGGUAGACAAUUUACAUGGGCCAAUUCGUUGCCCACUCCAACUUAUGAGAAGUUGGAUAUGGUGCUCGCUAGUGUGGAAUGGGAACAAAAAUACCCAUUAGUGUCGGUUCAUGCGAUGCAGAGGGUGAUCUCAGACCACACACCAUUACUAGUAGACUCGGGAGAGGCUACCCAUAUUGCAAACAAGAAUGCUUUCUCUUUUGAACUAGGUUGGUUCGAGAAAGAAAACUUCUUGGAGAUCAUUGCACGCGAAUGGGCAAAGCCUGUGAGUGGACGAACAAGUAUUGAGAGAUGGCAAAAUAAGAUUAGACAUCUGAGAUAG
This 786-nucleotide ribosomal RNA is filed under the name Triticum aestivum (bread wheat). RNAcentral's name for it is "partial small subunit ribosomal RNA". The record is from RNAcentral. Lineage: Eukaryota; Viridiplantae; Streptophyta; Magnoliopsida; Poales; Poaceae.